GACGAACGCUGGCGGCGUGCCUAACACAUGCAAGUCGAACGGGGUUACCCUUCGGGGUAACUUAGUGGCGAACGGGUGAGUAACGCGUGAGAAACCUGCCUCUCAGUGGGGGACAACAGUUGGAAACGACUGCUAAUACCGCAUAACACUUUAGUACCGCAUGGUACGGAAGUCAAAGCUUUAUGUGCUGAGAGAUGGUCUCGCGUUUGAUUAGCUAGUUGGCGGGGUAACGGCCCACCAAGGCGACGAUCAGUAGCCGGUCUGAGAGGAUGAACGGCCACAUUGGGACUGAGAUACGGCCCAGACUCCUACGGGAGGCAGCAGUGGGGAAUAUUGGGCAAUGGGGGAAACCCUGACCCAGCAACGCCGCGUGAAGGACGAAAGGCCUUCGGUUGUAACUCUUUAGUAGGACGAAGAACGUAGACGGUACCUACAGAAAAGACAACGGACUAACUAACGUGCCAGCAGCCGCGGUAA
This 477-nucleotide ribosomal RNA is filed under the name uncultured bacterium. RNAcentral's name for it is "bacterial SSU rRNA". It matches the Rfam family "Bacterial small subunit ribosomal RNA", at positions 28 to 523 of the family's 1533-position model. The record is from RNAcentral.